GACAAAAUAAGGAACAACUUUCAUAUUUACCAUUUCCUCAAAUUCCUACUGCAACAGGGCCCAAUGGAACAGUAAAGUUGGGUCUCAAAAACUGAAAUUUCUGCCCUCUUAGAAUUAAGUUGAGAAAUGGAAAUGGCAAUCAAUUCCAACAAGUUUUAAAUACAAAAUGUGGUAUGUUUGGGGUGUUAAAACCAAUACAGCUAUUUUCUAUCCAAAAGUCAACA
This 224-nucleotide unclassified non-coding RNA is filed under the name Hevea brasiliensis (rubber tree). The record is from RNAcentral. Lineage: Eukaryota; Viridiplantae; Streptophyta; Magnoliopsida; Malpighiales; Euphorbiaceae.